Molecule: ribosomal RNA, 425 nt
Filed under: uncultured bacterium
Lineage: Bacteria
Description: partial 16S ribosomal RNA
Rfam family: Bacterial small subunit ribosomal RNA
Source: RNAcentral
GUUAGGAAUAUUGGACAAUGGGCGCAAGCCUGAUCCAGCCAUGCCGCGUGAACGAUGAAGGCCUUCGGGUUGUAAAGCUCUUUAGCCGAUGAUUAUAAUGACUGUAGUCGGAAAAUAAGCCCCGGCUAACUUCGUGCCAGCAGCCGCGGUAAUACGAAGGGGGCGAGCGUUAUUCGGAAUCACUGGGCGUAAAGCGUGCGUAGGCGGCUUUGCAAGUUGGGAGUGAAAGCCCAGGGCUCAACCCUGGAAUUGCUCUCAAAACUGCAAGGCUCGAAUUCGGGAGAGGAUAGCGGAAUUGUCAGUGUAGCAGUGAAAUGCGUAGAUAUUGACAGGAACACCAGUGGCGUAAGCGGCUAUCUGGACCGAUAUUGACGCUGAGGCACGAAAGCGUGGGGAUCAAACAGGAUUAGAUACCCUAGUAGUCC